RNAcentral lists this ribosomal RNA (635 nucleotides) under Latruncellus aurorae. RNAcentral's name for it is "eukaryotic LSU rRNA". It matches the Rfam family "Eukaryotic large subunit ribosomal RNA", at positions 67 to 726 of the family's 3401-position model. The record is from RNAcentral. Lineage: Eukaryota; Fungi; Ascomycota; Sordariomycetes; Diaporthales; Cryphonectriaceae.
AACAGGGAUUGCCCUAGUAACGGCGAGUGAAGCGGCAACAGCUCAAAUUUGAAAUCUGGCUUCGGCCCGAGUUGUAAUUUGCAGAGGAUGUUUCUGGCGCGGUGCCUUCCGAGUUCCCUGGAACGGGACGCCACAGAGGGUGAGAGCCCCGUAUGGUUGGACACCAAGCCUGUGUGAAACUCCUUCGACGAGUCGAGUAGUUUGGGAAUGCUGCUCAAAAUGGGAGGUAAAUCUCUUCUAAAGCUAAAUACCGGCCAGAGACCGAUAGCGCACAAGUAGAGUGAUCGAAAGAUGAAAAGCACCUUGAAAAGGGGGUUAAACAGUACGUGAAAUUGUUGAAAGGGAAGCGCUUGUGACCAGACUUGCGCCGGGCGGCUCAUCCGGGGUUCUCCCCGGUGCACUCCGCCCGGCUCAGGCCAGCAUCGGUUCUUGUUGGGGGAUAAGAACGGCAGGAAUGUGGCCCUCCCUCGGGAGGGUGUUAUAGCCUGCCGUACGAUACCCUGACGGGGACCGAGGUUCGCGCUCCGCAAGGAUGCUGGCGUAAUGGUCAUCAGCGACCCGUCUUGAAACACGGACCAAGGAGUCGUCCAUUAGAGCGAGCGUUUGGGUGUCAAACCCGCACGCGUAAUGAAAGU